UAAUUACAGCCAUAAAAAAAAAAAAAGAACAAAAAUUAUUCCACUCUCAAAUUAUACAAUACUCUCUUUUCUUUAAUCUUUAAAAUACAUUAUUAUUUUGAAGCUCAGUUAUCAUUGGCGGUUCAAAGCGUGACGUUGCGGAAGCCUGAACCGGACCUGAGAUGCCGGCGACUUAACGGCAACACCGUGCCAACAUAUGCCACCUCGACACAUCUCAUGUGCCACGUCAUCAUCGCCACGAGUAACCGACGCACACGUCACCACCUUCCGAGACACAUCCCACGUCAGCGCCACCACCAACAACGCCCCAACCACCGUGGUCGACAGAAGCAACACCGCCACGCCACCGUAGCACCGGCCGGUCAGGUGGGCGUAACCCUUGAUGGCGGCUAUGACCGUUAAGUAGACGACGGUUAAAUUAGCGGCUAAUAUGUCUGAAAUUGGCAUAAUUGAGAUGAUUUGAUGAAGAAUGAAGGGGGAAUUAUACGAGGAAUGUUUGUUGGUGGGGUGGGGUUGGGGUUUUCGAUGUGGGUUGGGUGAAGUGGUGUUUACGAAAAGAAUGGGUUUCAUCAUUCUCUCAACAUAUUUGGGAUGGUGAUGGAUACAAGGGAAACCAGAUCCAAUUCUCGGGACCGUUGGUUUCGUCAAACGUGG
RNAcentral lists this long non-coding RNA (654 nucleotides) under Helianthus annuus (common sunflower). Lineage: Eukaryota; Viridiplantae; Streptophyta; Magnoliopsida; Asterales; Asteraceae. The record is from RNAcentral.